This 1235-nucleotide ribosomal RNA is filed under the name metagenome. RNAcentral describes it as "bacterial LSU rRNA". It matches the Rfam family "Bacterial large subunit ribosomal RNA", at positions 1564 to 2808 of the family's 2925-position model. The record is from RNAcentral.
UGAAUACGAGAUGCUACGGCGUCGAAGCAGUCUAUGUCAUACUUCCAAGAAAAGCUUGCACUGUCAUAAACAAAUAAUGCCUGUACCAUAACCGACACAGGUGGGUAGGUAGAGUAUACUAAGGGGCGCGAGAUAACUCUCUCUAAGGAACUCGGCAAAAUGACUCCGUAACUUCGGGAGAAGGAGUGCCUUAUUUAUAAGGUUGCAAUAACAAGAUCCAAGCAACUGUUUACCAAAAACACAGGUCUCCGCUAAGUCGUAAGACGAUGUAUGGGGGCUGACGCCUGCCCAGUGCCAGAAGGUUAAAGAAGUUGGUUAGCAUCCGCGAAGCUGAUAACUGAAGCCCUGGUGAACGGCGGCCGUAACUAUAACGGUCCUAAGGUAGCGAAAUUCCUUGUCGGGUAAGUUCCGACCCGCACGAAAGGCGUAAUGAUUUGGAUACUGUCUCGGAGAGGGGCUCGGUGAAAUAGACUUGUCUGUGAAGAUGCGGACUACCUGCACCAGGACAGAAAGACCCUAUGAAGCUUUACUGUAACCUGAAAUUGAAAUUGGACUUUACUUGCGCAGUAUAGGUGGGAGGCGUUGAGAAUAUUCUUGCGGGAUUAUUGGAGCCAUCAGUGAGAUACCACUCUUGUAAUGUUAGAUUUCUAACUUUGUAUCAUUAUCUGGUCAAAGAACAGUUUCAGGCGGGCAGUUUGACUGGGGCGGUCGCCUCCUAAACGGUAACGGAGGCGCACAAAGGUUUCCUCUGAACGGGUAGAAAUCGUAUCUAGAGUAUAAAGGCAUAAGGAAGCUUGACUGUGAGACCUACAAGUCGAGCAGGGACGAAAGUCGGUCUUAGUGAUCUGACGGUGCUGAGUGGAAAGGCCGUCACUCAACGGAUAAAAGUUACUCUAAGGAUAACAGGCUGAUCUCCCCCAAGAGUUCACAUCGACGGGGAGGUUUGGCACCUCGAUGUCGGCUCAUCGCAUCCUGGGGCGGUAGUACGUCCCAAGGGUUGGGCUGUUCGCCCAUGAAAGCGGUACGCGAGCUGGGUUCAGAACGUCGUGAGACAGUUCGGUCCAUAUCCGGUGUAGGCGUUAGAAUAUUGAGAGGAGCCUUCUUUAGUACGAGAGGACCGAGAAGGACAUACCUCUGGUGUACCAGUUAUCGUGCCAACGGUAAACGCUGGGUAGCUAUGUGUGGAGUGGAUAACCACUGAAAGCAUCUAAGUGGGAAGCCCACCUCAAGAUAAG